GACGAACGCUGGCGGCAUGCCUAACACAUGCAAGUCGAACGAGACCUUCGGGUCUAGGGGCGCACGGGUGCGUAACGCGGGGUGACCAACACGUGAGUUCGGUGUACCUCCCCGAAGGGUGAGCUAAUGCCGCUGAAGCUCUUCGGGGCAAAGAUUUCUCGCCGUUGGGUGGGCCCGCGUUAGAUUAGGUGGUUGGUAGGGGAAAAGCAUACCAAGGCGAGGAUCCAUGGCUGGUCGGAGAGCAGGAUAAGCCACACUGGAACUGCGACACGGCCCAGACCCCUACGGGACGCAGCAGUGUGGAACAUUGGACAAGGGGCGAAAGCCUGACAAAGCAAUGCCGCGGGAGUGGUGAAUCCCGUAGGGUUGCAAAUCCGUCUUACCCGGGAUGAUAAUGACAGUACCGGGUGAAUAAGCACCGGCUAACUACGUG
This 433-nucleotide ribosomal RNA is filed under the name uncultured bacterium. RNAcentral's name for it is "partial 16S ribosomal RNA". It matches the Rfam family "Bacterial small subunit ribosomal RNA", at positions 28 to 507 of the family's 1533-position model. The record is from RNAcentral.